ACUUUCAAAGGACAGAAGUAAUCCUGUGGCUUUAGGAGCCAUUUCCCCUUGGUGCAACUCCAAGUGAAAGUA
RNAcentral lists this transfer RNA (72 nucleotides) under Pelusios castaneus (West African mud turtle). Its description in RNAcentral is "tRNA-Leu". The record is from RNAcentral. Lineage: Eukaryota; Metazoa; Chordata; Testudines; Pelomedusidae.